RNAcentral lists this ribosomal RNA (447 nucleotides) under uncultured bacterium. RNAcentral describes it as "bacterial SSU rRNA". It matches the Rfam family "Bacterial small subunit ribosomal RNA", at positions 355 to 825 of the family's 1533-position model. The record is from RNAcentral.
UCGGGAAUUUUGGGCAAUGGGCGAAAGCCUGACCCAGCAACGCCGCGUGAAGGAUGAAGUAUUUCGGUAUGUAAACUUCGUAAGAAUAGGAAGAAUAAAUGACGGUACUAUUUAUAAGGUCCGGCUAACUACGUGCCAGCAGCCGCGGUAAUACGUAGGGACCAAGCGUUGUUCGGAUUUACUGGGCGUAAAGGGCGCGUAGGCGGCAAUUCAAGUCAUCUGUGAAAUCUCCGGGCUUAACUCGGAACGGUCAGAUGAUACUGCUUUGCUAGAGUGCAGAAGGGGCAAUCGGAAUUCUUGGUGUAGCGGUGAAAUGCGUAGAUAUCAAGAGGAACACCUGAGGUGAAGACGGGUUGCUGGGCUGACACUGACGCUGAGGCGCGAAAGCCAGGGGAGCAAACGGGAUUAGAUACCCCUGUAGUCCCUGAGCGGGCUGGCAAGGCGCAU